Molecule: long non-coding RNA, 668 nt
Filed under: Calidris pygmaea (Spoon-billed sandpiper)
Lineage: Eukaryota; Metazoa; Chordata; Aves; Charadriiformes; Scolopacidae
Description: lncRNA (ENSCPGG00000016850.1)
Source: RNAcentral
AUAUUGUUUCAUGUUAUUUGUUAGCAGGGUGGCAAAAUCUUCUAAGAUGCAAAAAUGAGGUUCCUUUCUUUUCAUUUUAUAUGUACAUGCAUCUGUUUUGUAAAUAGGUCUGUGGUCAGUCUUCUCAUGAACAUAUUAAUGAAGCAGUAGAGACAAAAAUAAGGAAGAUUUCUUCUCUCACACGAAGGACUUGUCAUGUCUUAUCAUUACAAUGAAGCCUUUGAAAAUCCAGACUACCACUUCUCAGAGACACUGGAAAUUGAUAGAAGGAGGAGUUCUCAAAAGAAUCUGUUUUCUCACCAAAGCCCUUAUGAUUCUUCACUGCAUGGUUCCUAUGGAGAGCAGAGUGGAAGAGGACAGAAUUACCCUCUGGAGAUUCCAAUGGCCUCCAUGAGACAUGGCUCUGAAUACAGCGAAGAUUUACCAAGAGCUAAUGUCCUAAGCAGAAGUCCAUAUGGAAGUUCCACGUAUAAUCCUUCCUUUGAUCCUGAGCCAGAGCUGGCAUACACCCCACCUCCUGCCUUCCACCCGCUGGAUCGCUCCUAUACCCACAGAAUUUCUGAUGUAUCGGAAGGUAAGACAUAAUGAUUGUGGUGCUUCAGAACCACAGGUUGCAUGUCAGUCUUGCCCUCCAUAAAAUAAUUAAAUAUUUAAAAUCCUUCUGGUUC